GGCGUCAUAGCUCAGCUGGGAGAGCAACAGACUGAAGUAACAUCCUUUCGAAAUCUGGAGGUCCCGUGUUCAAUCCACGGUGAUGCCA
This is a non-coding RNA of Roridomyces roridus, 88 nucleotides long. The record is from the annotation of a GenBank genome assembly. Lineage: Eukaryota; Fungi; Basidiomycota; Agaricomycetes; Agaricales; Mycenaceae.